GCUUAGCCCUAAACUUUAAUAGUCAAAACAACAAGACUAUUCGCCAGAACACUACAAGCAACAGCUUAAAAUUCAAAGGACUUGGCGGUGCUUCAUACCCACCUAGAGGAGCCUGUUCUAUAAUCGAUAAACCCCGAUCAACCUUACCACCUCUCGCUUAGCCUAUAUACCGCCAUCUUCAGCAAACCUCAACAAGAGAUGUAAAGUAAGCACAAAUGCCCACGCAAAAACGUUAGGUCAAGGUGUAGCUUAUGAGUUGGGAAAAAUGGGCUACAUUUUCUACCCCAGAAAAUCAUACGACAGCUCUUAUGAAACCUGAGAGUCCAAGGAGGAUUUAGUAGUAAACUAAGAGCAGAGUGCUUAGUUGAAUAAGGCCAUGAAGCACGC
This 387-nucleotide ribosomal RNA is filed under the name Rhinopithecus bieti (black snub-nosed monkey). RNAcentral describes it as "partial 12S ribosomal RNA". It matches the Rfam family "Bacterial small subunit ribosomal RNA", at positions 794 to 1384 of the family's 1533-position model. The record is from RNAcentral. Lineage: Eukaryota; Metazoa; Chordata; Mammalia; Primates; Cercopithecidae.